GCACGGCCCGGAAGGAGGCCUGGAGCCGCCCAGCGACAGCAAGGCCGCCGAGGACGCCGGCCCAGCGGUGAUUGUCACCGUCAGCUGGCUGCACGGAGCAACGAAUACCUUUGCCUACGG
This 120-nucleotide non-coding RNA is filed under the name Alexandrium tamarense. Lineage: Eukaryota; Dinophyceae; Gonyaulacales; Pyrocystaceae. The record is from RNAcentral.